CAGACCCCCAUACGAACAUUAUUGCAAUUUUCAGUUGAGCGCAUUUUUACCUUUUAAGGUGAUUAUACCAGGAUUUAUUGUAGUGUAGCUCAAUGGAUAGAGUAUCUGACCGGCAAUCAGAAGGUCCGUGGUUCUACUCCCGGCAUAGGAAAGAUGCAAAUUUUUCCUCUUCUUCUUCGCUUCGAAUGAGUGUUGAAAGAGAGAAAAAAUUGGCAUUUACUCCAUACGAUACGUUUCGGAAUUUUCACUGAGUAUUUGCUCGUAGUAUUCGCUCGCCGAAUUGAGCAAAUUAAAGCAAUUGAAUCGUUGCGAUUCUAACAUUGUAGAGUCAAAAAGUAGCAUUAUCUAAAAUACUUGAGUAAUUUAGUAUGACUUUACGGCACUAAUGUUCAUGUGCUAAAAAGGAACAAAAUAAAUCCUGGUAUCAAAAAAAUAUUCAUAUUCCAAAAAGUUCUGCAAAGUAAAGUUGAGCCGAAAUUUAUAUAAAUAAAUUUAUGUGAAACCAUUCCCUGCUCAUAACAUUCAAACGACUAGCGAUCAAAAUCCCAUAUUACUAAUGAAAGAACUAAAUUAUUCUAUCAAUUUCAUUUUAUUUUGCAACUCAAUAUUUUUGGUUAAAUAUUAUAAAGAAUCUUUUUGCGCUUAGCAGAAUGUAGUUUUCAUACAAGAUGAAUGAAAUAAGUGUUUAUUCUAUGCUUUCUAUUCUUUUUAAAUAUGCUAACGUAUAUCUCAACAUCCUCAAACGUUCAAAUUCAACCUAAAUGCAUAUUGGAAAAUAUGAUUUCUUAUAAAAAUGGAAAAAAUCUGCGGGUUGCAUCGUCUGCGAAAUUUCAUCAAAACAUUUCAUGGCUGAUUAGGUACAUGAAAGGCAGACAGCAAGGAUGCGCACUCGUUCAGAAUGGUUUCUAGGUUGUGGAGGUUCACUAAAUUCGGAAAUGAACCUUUGUGUAUCCAACAUAGAAUCUAGUACUGGCGAUAAUAGUAGGGGUAAUUAUUCAACAAAUACUUUAUGUGCUCGAAAUGAUAGUGGCAGCUUAAGUUUGUACAUGUUAAUUUAAUAUUACACAUACAUAUACACUACUUACUCGAAAAUAUGGAUACCCCAUGUGAAAAAUUUGUGACUGACUAGCCAGCCGCUUAAUUUCGGACUUUUUGGCUGACUAUUACUGACUAAAAGUUAUUAUCUCAAACAAAAUAUUCGAAUGUAGUCAUCUAGUAGCCAAAAAGUCCGAAAUUAGACGACUGGCUGAAAGAAUAACAAAAAGAUAGUAUUUUUAUACGACAUUUUUGAAUUCAAUCAACUUAGCCAGUUGCAGCUACAUACAACUGAGUGACUGUUGGUCACUUUUUUGUACCCGUAUGAAACAUAUUAUUCCUACGUUUAUCGAUUCAAAUUCGUUACAGUGUCUUAAAACUUAUUGCAUUCUUCUGAAACUCAAUGAUUUUGAAUACUGGAUUCGGAUUAUUGAGUUAUUACAUAGAAACAUCCAUGGCUAUCCAUGUUUCGGGAUUUUGUGAAUGUUUCCAUUUGUUCAUAUAAUUUAGUUGCUUUUGACGUCUUAUCAAUUUUUAUUUAUUCUACUGAUCAUUUUAUAAUUAUUCUACUCUAUUGUAAAUUCAGUGUACUAAACGAUAAAAUAGUAUUACUGAACCACAUAAGUUCUUUGUUUUGAUUUAAUCCUAUUAUGUAAAAAUGCAUGAAAUUGAAUUCUAGAAGAAAAAUAUUCGUCUGACAAGUACAAAACUGGCUAAAUGUUCGCGGCAAAAGGAUCUCAAGCUAAAAAAUAGCAAUUUUUGUAUACAUAUCCGAUGCCGUCGACGUUUAGAAGUUUUUUGCUAAAGGUCCAAAACCGCCAGACGUUUAGCCAGUUCCUGCCGGUGGGCGCUCGCUUUGUAUGGAUACAAUGUAAUUUUUCAUUGACGUUUGCAACAAGACGCCACCUAUUCAGAAAAGUCGCCGCUCUAUGGAAUUAGCGGCAAUAAACAAAUGGCUCACAUACGCUCACAACAAUGAACUUCACAGAGCGGCGAAAAAUGCAUAGAAAUGCGGCGAAUGGGUCGAAUUUUUAAUGAAAAAUAAAUAUUUUCAUAUACAGUGCGAGAAAUAGUUAUGGUCGCCUUGAGUUUUCAAAUUAUUUUCCAGCAGGAAUAAAUGUUUUUCGUCUAAAAAAUUACAAAAAUCUUCUAAAAGGUGUGCGUAAUUUGUUGGAUGAAAAUCGUCUGAAGAACUGAUAAAAGCACCAAAAAAUGCACAGAUUUGUGUGUGUCUGAAAAUCAUCUGAGAUAAUGACGAAAUUGUCAAGAAGAAUUUGAAAAUCGUCUGAAGAAAUGUAAAAAUUCUGUAAACACAGAAUUGUUUUAAAAAAGCACCAUGAAAAAUAUCAAAACAAAUCACAAGCAUGUCAAUAUAUUGCAUUUUUUGCAAAAUACUGAAGGUGCGGCUAUAAUUAUUUCGCGUGCCGAAAAUCGAAAAAAUAUGAAAAGAUUUAAAAAAUACAUUUUGCAAAAAUCUCCCUGAAGUGUUUUUAACCCUCGUACACGCACCUAUUUUAAAACCUUCGAACGUGCACCUCGGGUCUGGCUGGACCCCUAUAUAUUUGUAUGCAUUUGUAUGGGAAUAAGUGAUGUAUGCCAUCUCAUUUUCCACGGAACUGA
Molecule: long non-coding RNA, 2655 nt
Organism: Sitodiplosis mosellana (orange wheat blossom midge)
Lineage: Eukaryota; Metazoa; Arthropoda; Insecta; Diptera; Cecidomyiidae
Exons: 2
Source: RefSeq, a predicted model, not a curated record